RNAcentral lists this ribosomal RNA (468 nucleotides) under uncultured bacterium. Its description in RNAcentral is "partial 16S ribosomal RNA". It matches the Rfam family "Bacterial small subunit ribosomal RNA", at positions 28 to 507 of the family's 1533-position model. The record is from RNAcentral.
GACGAACGCUGGCGGCGUGCUUAACACAUGCAAGUCGAACGGAAAGGCCCUGCUUUUGUGGGGUGCUCGAGUGGCGAACGGGUGAGUAACACGUGAGUAACCUGCCCUUGACUUUGGGAUAACUUCAGGAAACUGGGGCUAAUACCGGAUAGGAGCUCCUGCUGCAUGGUGGGGGUUGGAAAGUUUCGGCGGUUGGGGAUGGACUCGCGGCUUAUCAGCUUGUUGGUGGGGUAGUGGCUUACCAAGGCUUUGACGGGUAGCCGGCCUGAGAGGGUGACCGGCCACAUUGGGACUGAGAUACGGCCCAGACUCCUACGGGAGGCAGCAGUGGGGAAUAUUGCACAAUGGGCGGAAGCCUGAUGCAGCAACGCCGCGUGCGGGAUGAUGGCCUUCGGGUUGUAAACCGCUUUCGCCUGUGACGAAGCGUGAGUGACGGCAAUGGGUAAAGAAGCACCGGCUAACUACGUG